This 490-nucleotide ribosomal RNA is filed under the name uncultured bacterium. Its description in RNAcentral is "partial 16S ribosomal RNA". It matches the Rfam family "Bacterial small subunit ribosomal RNA", at positions 30 to 507 of the family's 1533-position model. The record is from RNAcentral.
AUUGAACGCUGGCGGCAGGCCUAACACAUGCAAGUCGAACGGUAACAGGAAGAAGCUUGCUUCUUUGCUGACGAGUGGCGGACGGGUGAGUAAUGUCUGGGAAACUUCCUGAUGGAGGGGGAUAACUACUGGAAACGGUAGCUAAUACCGCAUAACGUCGCAAGACCAAAGAGGGGGACCUUCGGGCCUCUUGCCAUCGGAUGUGCCCAGAUGGGAUUAGCUAGUAGGUGGGGUAACGGCUCACCUAGGCGACGAUCCCUAGCUGGUCUGAGAGGAUGACCAGCCACACUGGAACUGAGACACGGUCCAGACUCCUACGGGAGGCAGCAGUGGGGAAUAUUGCACAAUGGGCGCAAGCCUGAUGCAGCCAUGCCGCGUGUAUGAAGAAGGCCUUCGGGUUGUAAAGUACUUUCAGCGGGGAGGAAGGGAGUAAAGUUAAUACCUUCGCUCAUUGACGUUACCCGAAGAAGAAGCACCGGCUAACUACGUG